CUGCCUUCAGCCGCGGGAAAUACAUAGGGUGCGUACCGUUCUCCGGGAUUACUGCGUGUAAAGGGCUCCGUACGAGGUUUGUCGCGUCGUCUGUGAAUUCCGGGGCUUAACUCCGGGCGUGCAGGCGAUACGGGCAUAACUUGAGUACUGUAGGGGUAACUGGAAUUCCUGGUGUAGCGGUGAAAUGCGCAGAUAUCAGGAGGAACACCGAUGGCGAAGGCAGGUUACUGGGCAGUUACUGACGCUGAGGAGCGAAAGCAUGGGUAGCGAACAGGAUUAGAUACCCUGGUAGUCC
This 295-nucleotide ribosomal RNA is filed under the name uncultured microorganism. Its description in RNAcentral is "partial 16S ribosomal RNA". It matches the Rfam family "Bacterial small subunit ribosomal RNA", at positions 505 to 796 of the family's 1533-position model. The record is from RNAcentral.